This 468-nucleotide ribosomal RNA is filed under the name uncultured bacterium. RNAcentral's name for it is "partial 16S ribosomal RNA". It matches the Rfam family "Bacterial small subunit ribosomal RNA", at positions 28 to 507 of the family's 1533-position model. The record is from RNAcentral.
GACGAACGCUGGCGGCGUGCUUAACACAUGCAAGUCGAACGGAAAGGCCCUGCUUUUGUGGGGUGCUCGAGUGGCGAACGGGUGAGUAACACGUGAGUAACCUGCCCUUGACUUUGGGAUAACUUCAGGAAACUGGGGCUAAUAUCGGAUAGGAGCUCCUGCUGCAUGGUGGGGGUUGGAAAGUUUCGGCGGUUGGGGAUGGACUCGCGGCUUAUCAGCUUGUUGGUGGGGUAGUGGCUUACCAAGGCUUUGACGGGUAACCGGCCUGAGAGGGUGACCGGCCACAUUGGGACUGAGAUACGGCCCAGACUCCUACGGGAGGCAGCAGUGGGGAAUAUUGCACAAUGGGCGGAAGCCUGAUGCAGCAACGCCGCGUGCGGGAUGACGGCCUUCGGGUUGUAAACCGCUUUCGCCUGUGACGAAGCGUGAGUGACGGUAAUGGGUAAAGAAGCACCGGCUAACUACGUG